AUACGGGGGGUGCAAGCGUUAUACGGAAUCACUGGGCGUAAAGGACGCGUAGGCGGGUUGGCAAGUCAGAUGUGAAACCCUACAGCUUAACUGUAGAACUGCAUUUGAAACUGCUAACCUAGAGUAUGGGAGGGGGAGAUGGAAUUAGUGGUGUAGGGGUAAAAUCCGUAGAUAUCACUAGGAAUACCGAAAGCGAAGGCGAUCUCCUGGAACAUAACUGACGCUAAGGCGUGAAAGCGGGGGGAGCAAACAGGAUUAGAUACCCUAGUAGUCC
Molecule: ribosomal RNA, 274 nt
Filed under: uncultured bacterium
Lineage: Bacteria
Description: partial 16S ribosomal RNA
Rfam family: Bacterial small subunit ribosomal RNA
Source: RNAcentral